UACGAAGGGGGCUAGCGUUGCUCGGAAUUACUGGGCGUAAAGCGCACGUAGGCGGUCUUUUAAGUCGGGGGUGAAAUCCUGGAGCUCAACUCCAGAACUGCCUUCGAUACUGGAAGACUUGAGUCCGGGAGAGGUGAGUGGAACUGCGAGUGUAGAGGUGAAAUGCGUAGAGAUCCGGAGGAACACCAAAGGCGAAGGCAGUGUCCUGGGGAGUACCUGACGCUCAGGUGCGAAAGCCAGGGGAGCGAACGGG
This 253-nucleotide ribosomal RNA is filed under the name uncultured bacterium. Its description in RNAcentral is "partial 16S ribosomal RNA". It matches the Rfam family "Bacterial small subunit ribosomal RNA", at positions 524 to 776 of the family's 1533-position model. The record is from RNAcentral.